AUUGGCCCUACACAUCUAGAUUAUGAUAAUGCUAUUUUUGCAGGAAUGCAAUUCAAAUAUACAUUGUUUGUGAGAGUGUCUGAUGAGGGAAAUCCUGUACUAUCAACAAUUAUUACAAUCAUCAUAAGGGUGCGUUGCAUAAAUGAAUUGAAUCCAAUUGGAACUACAUCGACAUUUACCUUCAGUAUAUUGGAAAAUAGUCCUACUGAUACCCUAGUUGGAAAAAUUUCACUUACAGAUGCAGACUGACCACUUAAUAAUACAAAGUAUACAAUUGUUGGAGGUAAUUUUGGAAAACCUCCCAAAUUUUACAUUGAAGCAGACACAGGAAUGAUAAAGCUAUUGAAUUCACUAGAUAGGGAAGUUGAACCACAGUACAAAAUUGCUGUGAGAAUAACAGACUUGGACAACGAUGCUAUCCCUGACCCCCUCAGACAGAGAAGUAGUACUGCUCAGGUGAUCAUCAAUGUUCUG
Long non-coding RNA from Trichechus manatus latirostris (Florida manatee), 474 nucleotides. RefSeq lists it as uncharacterized. The transcript is spliced from 3 exons. Lineage: Eukaryota; Metazoa; Chordata; Mammalia; Sirenia; Trichechidae. The record is from RefSeq and is a predicted model, not a curated record.